RNAcentral lists this ribosomal RNA (440 nucleotides) under uncultured bacterium. Its description in RNAcentral is "partial 16S ribosomal RNA". It matches the Rfam family "Bacterial small subunit ribosomal RNA", at positions 338 to 795 of the family's 1533-position model. The record is from RNAcentral.
CCUACGGGAGGCAGCAGUGGGGGAUAUUGCACAAUGGGGGAAACCCUGAUGCAGCGACGCCGCGUGAGUGACGAAGUAUUUCGGUAUGUAAAGCUCUAUCAGCAGGGAAGAAAAUGACAGUACCUGACCCUGAAGCCCCGGCUAACUACGUGCCAGCAGCCGCGGUAAUACGUAGGGGGCAAGCGUUAUCCGGAUUUACUGGGUGUAAAGGGAGCGUAGACGGUUAUGUAAGUCAGAUGUGAAAACCACGGGCUCAACCUGUGGCCUGCAUUUGAAACUGUAGUUCUUGAGUACUGGAGAGGCAGACGGAAUUCCUAGUGUAGCGGUGAAAUGCGUAGAUAUUAGGAAGAACACCAGUGGCGAAGGCGGUCUGCUGGACAGCAACUGACGCUGAGGCGCGAAAGCGUGGGGAGCAAACAGGAUUAGAUACCCUUGUAGUC